This 253-nucleotide ribosomal RNA is filed under the name uncultured Leptotrichia sp. RNAcentral's name for it is "partial 16S ribosomal RNA". It matches the Rfam family "Bacterial small subunit ribosomal RNA", at positions 102 to 354 of the family's 1533-position model. Lineage: Bacteria; Fusobacteriati; Fusobacteriota; Fusobacteriia; Fusobacteriales; Leptotrichiaceae. The record is from RNAcentral.
ACGGGUGAGUAACGCGUAAAGAACUUGCCCUUUAGACUGGGAUAACAGAGGGAAACUUCUGAUAAUACUGGAUAAGUUAGUAUAUCGCAUGAUAUGCAAAUGAAAGCUACGGCACUAAAGGAGAGCUUUGCGUCCUAUUAGCUAGUUGGUAAGGUAAGAGCUUACCAAGGCGAUGAUAGGUAGCCGGCCUGAGAGGGUGGACGGCCACAAGGGGACUGAGAUACGGCCCUUACUCCUACGGGAGGCAGCAGAC